UACGUAGGGUGCGAGCGUUGUCCGGAAUUAUUGGGCGUAAAGAGCUCGUAGGCGGUCUGUCGCGUCGGUCGUGAAAACUUGGGGCUUAACCCUGAGCUUGCGGUCGAUACGGGCAUGACUGGAGUUCGGCAGGGGAGACUGGAAUUCCUGGUGUAGCGGUGAAAUGCGCAGAUAUCAGGAGGACACCGGUGCGAAGGCGGACUCUCUGGACCGUACUGACGCUGAGGCGCGAAAGCGU
RNAcentral lists this ribosomal RNA (238 nucleotides) under uncultured bacterium. RNAcentral describes it as "partial 16S ribosomal RNA". It matches the Rfam family "Bacterial small subunit ribosomal RNA", at positions 524 to 762 of the family's 1533-position model. The record is from RNAcentral.